CUCACAGUCGAGUCAUGCCAUCGCUUACACUAUCUUUCAGACUCUAUUUCCUGUGGGAGGACUGGAUGUGAUGAGACCCCAGAGCCAGCUUUGCCUCUUGCUACCAUGCUCCUUAAAGGCCAGAGUUGUUUUCAAGUCAACUUUUGGGUCAACCAGCUACAACAUGCAGUGCCAGUUUAACAAAGAUGUGAAACUACAGCCGACCACGGAAAAUAUCACACCCUUAGAUGGACACCCUGUAAGGACUCUGAGGCCUGAGACUAGCAUGAGGGGGAGGCCCAAUACCCCUCACCACCCCAGUUCAGCAGGAAGUAGCCAAAAAGACCUCAACGCCCCUUUUCCCAACGAAUUGGGCCUCCCAUCUCGUGAGGGGGGAAUGUUAGGUAGGUAGAAUAGGGAAACGGAGUCCAAAAUGGCGGUGGCUAAAAAACAAGGAAGGUCAAAGGAAGCUCUGAGGACCAGACUGAAGACUUCAGGUAGAACGAACAGCACUCCUGGCUAAGCCCAAUUUGCACAGGGCAGGCCCAGGCAGAGGAAAAACAUAAAAGGAGGAGCCAAAUCGCUCUCUCUUCCUCUCCCGCAUGGGUGUGCUCUUUCUCUCUCUUUCUCUCUCUCUCUCCCCCUCUCCCACGCGCUCCUCCACUCUCUUCCCUUCAAGUCUUUGUGUUGGCAUGCCCUCACGCUUCAAGGAUGGAUUCUCCUGCUAUCUUCUAAAUAAAAUAGAGCUGUAACACUGAUUUGCCUAAGAGCUAUAACACGGUUUGUCCAAGACCCGAGAGCUGUGACGCGCCGAGGACUUUAAUGUCCGUCACUCCAAAUCUUUGUUGUGACGAGACAAAGAACCGAGGAACAUACACUCGCGUGACAUGUCCAUCCAACAAAUGCUCAGAACUUGCUCAGAAAAUCACUGUAUCCGGUGCUGUGGGAGAUGCAAAGAUGAAUAAAAUGUAGUCACUGUAUUAGUCAGCAUCCUAACUGAAAAAUAGGGAGACCAUUCAAACAAUUUGUAGCAGAGGGAAUUUAGUAUAAGGAACUGGUGAUAGAAGCACUGGGAAACCAAACGAGACGGCGUGGCAAUACAGAACUUCACAACACUUGGAUGAUACUACUGCCCUUAAGCUGGGGAAACGGAGAAGAACGAGAGGUUACCAGAGCCCAGG
RNAcentral lists this long non-coding RNA (1160 nucleotides) under Capra hircus (goat). RNAcentral describes it as "lncRNA (ENSCHIG00000006943.1)". Lineage: Eukaryota; Metazoa; Chordata; Mammalia; Artiodactyla; Bovidae. The record is from RNAcentral.